RNAcentral lists this ribosomal RNA (497 nucleotides) under uncultured bacterium. Its description in RNAcentral is "partial 16S ribosomal RNA". It matches the Rfam family "Bacterial small subunit ribosomal RNA", at positions 28 to 507 of the family's 1533-position model. The record is from RNAcentral.
GAUGAACGCUGGCGGCGUGCCUAAUACAUGCAAGUCGAGCGAACAGACGAGGAGCUUGCUCCUCUGACGUUAGCGGCGGACGGGUGAGUAACACGUGGAUAACCUACCUAUAAGACUGGGAUAACUUCGGGAAACCGGAGCUAAUACCGGAUAAUAUAUUGAACCGCAUGGUUCAAUAGUGAAAGACGGUUUUGCUGUCACUUAUAGAUGGAUCCGCGCCGCAUGAGCUAGUUGGUAAGGUAACGGCUUUCCAAGGCAACGAUGCGUAGCCGACCUGAGAGAGUGAUAGGCCACCCUGGAGCGGAGACACGGACCAGACGCCUACGGGAGGCAGCAGUAGGGAAUCUGCCGCAAUGGGCGAAAGCAUGACGGAGCAACGCCGCGUGAGUGAUGAAGGUCUUCGGAUCGUAAAACUCUGUUAUGAGGGAAGAACAAAUGUGGAAGUAAAUAUGCACGUCGUGACGGUAACUAAUCAGAAAGCCACGGCUAACUACGUG